Molecule: ribosomal RNA, 877 nt
Filed under: uncultured archaeon
Lineage: Archaea
Description: bacterial SSU rRNA
Rfam family: Archaeal small subunit ribosomal RNA
Source: RNAcentral
GGUUACUGCUAUCGGGGUCCGACUAAGCCAUGCGAGUUGAGAGGGGUAAGCCCUCGGCAUACUGCUCAGUAACACGCGGAUAACCUGCCCUUGGGUCCGGGAUAACCCCGGGAAACUGGGACUAAUACCGGAUAGAUCAGAGAAACUGGAAUGUUCUCUGGUUCAAAACUCCGGUGCCCAAGGAUGGGUCUGCGGCCUAUCAGGUAGCAGUGGGUGUAACGUACCUACUAGCCAGCGACGGGUAAGGGUUGUGAGAGCAAGAUCCCUGAGAUGGAUUCUGAGACAUGAAUCCAGGCCCUACGGGGUGCAGCAGGCGCGAAAACUUUACACUGCGGGAAACCGCGAUAAGGGGACCCCGAGUGCCAGCACCUAGUGCUGGCUGUCCUACUGUCUAAAUAACAGUGGUUAGCAAGGGCCGGGCAAGACCGGUGCCAGCCGCCGCGGUAACACCGGCGGCCCGAGUGGUAACCGUUUUUAUUGGGUUUAAAGGGUCCGUAGCCGGCUUACUAAGUCUCUUGGGAAAUCUGGCGGCUCAAUCGUCAGGCGGCCAAGAGAUACUGGUAGGCUUGGGACCGGGAGAGGUGGGAGGUACUCCAGGGGUAGGGGUGAAAUCUCGUAAUCCUUGGGGGACCACCGAUGGCGAAGGCAUCCCACCAGAACGGGUCCGACGGUGAGGGACGAAAGCUGGGGGCACGAACCGGAUUAGAUACCCGGGUAGUCCCAGCUGUAAACGAUGCUCGCUAGGUGUCAGGUGCGGUGCGACCGCAUCUGGUGCCGCAGUGAAAACUUGAAGCGAGUCACCUGGGAAGUACGGUCGCAAGGCUGAAACUUAAAGGAAUUGGCGGGGGAGCACUACAACGGGUGGAGCCUGCGGUUC